CCAACGUGGAUACCCUGGGAAGUCACUCUCCCUGGACUUUGUCCAGGUGGCACAGGGGAGCAUAGAGUUCUGCCCAGUGAUGUACCGUCCCAUUCCAUGACACUGGAGAUGAAUUCGGGUCUUGAGCCUGCACCUGCAUAUUCCUACAGCUUCUCAGAGUCCUGCCGACAAGGACCAAGGAGACAAACCAUGCAGGAAACAGCC
Molecule: small nucleolar RNA, 204 nt
Organism: Dasypus novemcinctus (nine-banded armadillo)
Lineage: Eukaryota; Metazoa; Chordata; Mammalia; Cingulata; Dasypodidae
Gene: SNORA73
Rfam family: Small nucleolar RNA SNORA73 family
About the family: U17 (SNORA73A and SNORA73B) also known as E1 belongs to the H/ACA class of small nucleolar RNAs (snoRNAs). Vertebrate U17 is intron-encoded and ranges in length from 200-230 nucleotides, longer than most snoRNAs.
Source: Ensembl